GGGGUUGUAGCUCAGGGAUAGAGUACUCACCUAGCAUGUGUGGGGUACUGGGUUCGAUUCUCAGCACCACA
This 71-nucleotide transfer RNA is filed under the name Marmota monax (woodchuck). Its description in RNAcentral is "tRNA.Ala". It matches the Rfam family "tRNA". From Rfam's summary of the family: Transfer RNA (tRNA) molecules are approximately 80 nucleotides in length. Their secondary structure includes four short double-helical elements and three loops (D, anti-codon, and T loops). The record is from RNAcentral. Lineage: Eukaryota; Metazoa; Chordata; Mammalia; Rodentia; Sciuridae.